GUAUAUUGAAGAGGUAUUGAAAUGAUUCAAUGUGAAAGAGUGUAAGCCUAUUGAAACAUCUUUGAAAGCUAAUUUGAAGUUAAUAAAGCUUACAGAUGAAGAGUUUAUUGAAGUUGAAAGUGAAAUACAAUACAUAUCAAAGGAUAGACCAAUUCAUUAGAAAAAUGUUAAAAAAAAUAUGGGGUAUUUAAAAAAUACUUUGUACUUAAAG
RNAcentral lists this long non-coding RNA (211 nucleotides) under Physcomitrium patens. Its description in RNAcentral is "long non-coding RNA (PPAT_LNC007909)". The record is from RNAcentral. Lineage: Eukaryota; Viridiplantae; Streptophyta; Bryopsida; Funariales; Funariaceae.